RNAcentral lists this unclassified non-coding RNA (376 nucleotides) under soil metagenome. Its description in RNAcentral is "partial contains 5.8S ribosomal RNA, internal transcribed spacer 2, and large subunit ribosomal RNA". The stretch from base 1 to 120 matches the Rfam family "5.8S ribosomal RNA", at positions 35 to 154 of the family's 154-position model. The record is from RNAcentral.
GAUGAAGAACGCAGCGAAAUGCGAUAAGUAAUGUGAAUUGCAGAAUUCAGUGAAUCAUCGAAUCUUUGAACGCAUCUUGCGCUCCUUGGUAUUCUGAGGAGCAUGCCUGUUUGAGUGUCAUUAAAUUCUCAACCGCACUGACUUUGAAUUGGUGUGGCUUGGAUUUGGGGGGAAAAUUGUUGUGGGCUUUUUGUAUAGUCUGCUCCCCUGAAAUUGAUUAGCGGUACCUUUGUGGAACUGUCUACAGGUGUGAUAAUUAUCUACAUCUUAGACAUCUGCUGGAAUGCUGCUUUCUAAACCUUACUUGUAUUGACAAUCUUGACCUCAAAUCAGGUAGGACUACCCGCUGAACUUAAGCAUAUCAAUAAGCGGAGGA